Cyprinus carpio carpio is the source of this 1148-nucleotide long non-coding RNA. NCBI's taxonomy places the organism in Eukaryota, Metazoa, Chordata, Actinopteri, Cypriniformes, Cyprinidae. The record is from Ensembl.
AAAGCAGUUAGCAGCAAAACAUGCCUGGUGGAAAUACCACAGUAUGCACAGUCAAACCAGGAGUAGUAGGAGAAGUGGCCGGAGAAGCACACAACCGUGAGUGAAAAUGAGUCCCCCACUGAAGCCAUCAAUCAACGUAAUGGAUAUGAGGCAGGACAUCUCUAGAGAUGCGGCAGUGAAACUCUGCCCCUCUUAUUCCAUCACCACCGCUCUGAACGGCAGCCUAGGGAGACCAGGAGCAGGACAAUACCAGCCUUUCACUCAAGCAAGGUGAAUACUAACAGACCUUUUGGGCUUUUGAUAAAACGAAGAGUUGACUGCUCUUAGCUGCUCGGUUUUUGAAUAGAGAAGAAUUGUGUGGGGAACAAGGUAUCGUCCUUCAGCUGAUGAGGUUUCAUGCACCCUGAAUACCCAAAAGUGGCUGUCAAUGACUCUGGCAUGACUAAUUACAAAAGCAAUCCCAUCAACAUCCCAAAAUAGGCUCACUAGAGCCCUGACACUUCAUUUUACAAAGUCAUGGAAAUGCUGAGGUAUUGAUUCCAUUUGUCUUCCUCAAGACAAAAGCAGACAGGCCUAUGUUAGUUCCAGCAGGAUUCUCUAAAUCAGUCACUUUGAGCACAUUUUUAUUAUUAAUGUACUGUUUUCAGGUUGAAAAAAGGAACAAGCAUCUAAUGAAUACUUUACAUAAUGAUUUUUCACAAAACUUUUUAGCAUGUAUGAGCAGAGAUUCGACAAGAUGUUUGACAAGUAGAGCUAAACUUUUUUUUUUAUUUUUUUUUAUUUUUUUUUUUACUGCCAGCAAUUCUUUUGGAAUAGAACCAAUAAAAUGUCCACAGUACCUGAAAGAUGUUACCAAAAUAUGUGUAAAUCACACCAGUCUCUGACAGCAAUGGGCUCUGUAAAACAGCAAAAAAAAAAAAAAAAAAAUUGUAUAGCCUUCUCUCAUUUCAGACAUGUCAUUAUGACUGACAUACUGGUCAUAUUAUACAGACGAGAGCAUGUUGGCAUAGUUCAUUUUUGUAUGGCUUCCAGUACAAAAGAAAAUAAGAAAAUGCAAAUUAAAAAAAUUUCCAGAAAAUUAAAAAGCAGCCAAAAUGGAUGACACUGAUUAUCAAUAAACAUAAUACAAGUUUAUAUGAUACAUGUCA